Molecule: ribosomal RNA, 227 nt
Filed under: uncultured bacterium
Lineage: Bacteria
Description: partial 16S ribosomal RNA
Rfam family: Bacterial small subunit ribosomal RNA
Source: RNAcentral
UGAGUAACCUGCCCCAGACUCUGGGAUAAGCACUGGAAACGGUGUCUAAUACCGGAUAUGAGCUUCAGCCGCAUGGCUAGGAGUUGGAAAGAAUUUCGGUUUGGGAUGGACUCUCGGCCUAACAGCUUGUUGGUGAGGUAAUGGCUCACCAAGGCGACGACGGGUAGCCGGCCUGAGAGGGUGACCGGCCACACUGGGACUGAGACACGGCCCAGACUCCUACAGGA